GAACCUCUCGUGCAUACUGCUGGACGAAGCACUCAGCAAGCCAGUCGCAGGGGGAAGCCGGUCGAAAUCCGGCACUGACCCGCAACGGUAGGCCGUCUCACUCGUGGAGACGGCGAGUCCGAUUACCCAGCGGCUGUGUGUGCGACAC
This 148-nucleotide non-coding RNA is filed under the name Rhodococcoides fascians. The record is from RNAcentral. Lineage: Bacteria; Bacillati; Actinomycetota; Actinomycetes; Mycobacteriales; Nocardiaceae.